UUGACUUCGUGACACCUAAUUGUCUACAAGCAUAACGUAUAGCCAAUUGCACAACAGAUAUGUCCAUGGAAGUAUGUACAUAGUUAAUGAAUGCACCAGAUGAAACUCUCAAAUUGUAGAUGUCCUUCAGGGCUAUAGAUUUUACGAAUGGCAAUCGAGCACCUCCAAUGCUCCAAAUUUUCUAUUACAUUUCAGGAAUCAUCGAAAGUGAGUAAAAGUUUCAGUAGAAAAACAAGAGCACGUGGGAAAAUCUUGAACAAGAUAGAUGAGAAAGAAACAGAAGAGGAAAAUCUCACCAUCUCAGCCUCCUAUGUCACUAGUACCAAAAACUGAUUUGCUUUAAGAAUAGGUUUUUAUAUGAGUACAGGGGUGGCGAAGGUCAACCAGCACUAGGGACCUCCAUAAGGGUCCUACGUCCUCUAUAGAAUGUUCAGUUGCAUCACCUGUGACCUGAAGGUUGCAAGCCAGUUGGCACAAUCCCGCAGGAAGUCCUUUCACAUGACAUAUGCCGCAACUAGGCAACACGAGUUGAUCGGCAAUUCACUCGCAAUGUGAAUCAAACUCAUGACCUCAUGGAAGACAAGGAAAACCUUUCUAUUGCUGGACCAACUACCCUGGUGGUAAUAGGUUAUCUACAUUUAAUCACCAAAAAUUCAGAACAAAAACAAUUGAGAAAACAGCCAAUUAGGAACUCAUGACCUUGUGGAAGACAAGGAAACCCUUUUACUGCUAGAUCAACUACCCUGGUGGUGAUAGGUUAUCUACAUUUAAUCACCAAAAAUUCAGAACAAAAACAAUUGAGAAAA
This 806-nucleotide long non-coding RNA is filed under the name Eucalyptus grandis. RNAcentral describes it as "long non-coding RNA (EGRA_LNC001619)". The record is from RNAcentral. Lineage: Eukaryota; Viridiplantae; Streptophyta; Magnoliopsida; Myrtales; Myrtaceae.